GGGAGGGGCCACCGCCAAUUACUAAAUAACAUACUGAAUGAAGUUUCCAUUGAAUGCACUCAGAACCACUUGGUAGUAUACUCAAGCCAUCCAUGGCUUUCAUAGGCUCGACACUAGUGAACUUGGAGUCCAGGAUGGCAAGACUGAGAUAAGAGAAGAUUUCAAUAUUAUAAUAAGAGCUACCAGAGGAGGAGCUGCUAGAAAUUUAAACAGAGGUACAAAAGGCCACAUCUGAAGGUUUAAAAGACCAGAAUGGCAACUGAAUGGAACACUGGAAUGAACUGGAAGUUCUUGUGAGCAUGAGAAAAUAAGCAAGUCAUGCUCCCACAGCUUUAAAGGAAGCCAAGGACCUCUGAAGAGUUCUGCAUUCUGCGAAGACAGAGAUCUGAUCUGAGAAAAGUUUGAAGAAGUAACAUCUGAUUCAAGGCUGGAGGACAUCCUAGAGUUUAGAAGGUUGGCGCCCACGUGUUCCUGCCUCCUCUCAUUCCUAAACUGUAAUCUCUGCUCUUUGCUCCUCAGCUUUUAGACAGAGACUAAUGCAGUGAUCACUGCUGCCUUGGGAAGGAGCAGGGUUAGAUACAUACACCUUAGGAAUAAAAGAAAACCUCUCCCUUCUGCAUUUUGUACAAAUAGUCCUGUGCUGGUAUGUUGCACAGGAUCUGCAAAUUAUGUCACAUGUCCUGAUUGAAAGUAUUCAAAAUUCACUGCGGAAAGAGAAUCAAAGGACAGUGAUGGUGGAGAGCUGGGGAGGAGGGACAUCAGUGAAAGUCAAGAAAGGAUGGAUGGAUAAAUCGAGAGAAUGAUGGAUAAGGAGCUUCACAUUUUGUUCAAUGUCCAGGGGUAAAUUUGGGAGAGACAAAGAGGUUAGGGUGUCAAACUCCAGAUGCAAAUCUAGCCAAAGUUUUAGUGAACUCCUUGAACUGCAGUGCUUACCUUUAUUGGAGACAGCCUCUGCUCAGGUUGCCAAACAAAAAUUUGAAAGGAUUUUACAACUUGGCUCAAUAAAUCCUUUCCCAGGGGCUAGUUAGAUACACUUCCCUUCAAAUUUGAAACAUAUUGGAUACUGCAAUAUGGGUGGGCAGGUAAAGGCCAACCAAGGCAAUUGAAAUUAAAUAUGUAUUUCAUUUUUGGAACUUGGCUACCACCAAAAUCCUACUGAGCUUAUAAAGGAAAAAGUAAAAGAUUUUAAACUCUGCUUUUUUGGUUACUUACU
Long non-coding RNA from Chinchilla lanigera (long-tailed chinchilla), 1213 nucleotides. RefSeq lists it as uncharacterized. Lineage: Eukaryota; Metazoa; Chordata; Mammalia; Rodentia; Chinchillidae. The transcript is spliced from 4 exons. The record is from RefSeq and is a predicted model, not a curated record.